RNAcentral lists this ribosomal RNA (491 nucleotides) under uncultured bacterium. RNAcentral describes it as "partial 16S ribosomal RNA". It matches the Rfam family "Bacterial small subunit ribosomal RNA", at positions 28 to 506 of the family's 1533-position model. The record is from RNAcentral.
GAUGAACGCUAGCUACAGGCUUAACACAUGCAAGUCGAGGGGAAACGACAUCGAAAGCUUGCUUUUGAUGGGCGUCGACCGGUGCACGGGUGAGUAACGCGUAUCCAACCUGCCCAUCACUUGGGAAUAACCUUGCGAAAGUAAGACUAAUACCCAAUGAUAUCCCACGAAGGCAUCGGAAUAGGAUUAAAGAUUUAUCGGUGAUGGAUGGGGAUGCGUCUGAUUAGCUUGUUGGCGGGGUAACGGCCCACCAAGGCAACGAUCAGUAGGGGUUCUGAGAGGAAGGUCCCCCACAUUGGAACUGAGACACGGUCCAAACUCCUACGGGAGGCAGCAGUGAGGAAUAUUGGUCAAUGGGCGAGAGCCUGAACCAGCCAAGUAGCGUGCAGGAAGACGGCCCUAUGGGUUGUAAACUGCUUUUAUAAGGGAAUAAAGUGGGUCACGUGUGACUUUUUGCAUGUACCUUAUGAAUAAGGACCGGCUAAUUUCGU